This 2243-nucleotide ribosomal RNA is filed under the name Campylobacter jejuni. RNAcentral's name for it is "partial 23S ribosomal RNA". It matches the Rfam family "Bacterial large subunit ribosomal RNA", at positions 695 to 2925 of the family's 2925-position model. The record is from RNAcentral. Lineage: Bacteria; Pseudomonadati; Campylobacterota; Epsilonproteobacteria; Campylobacterales; Campylobacteraceae.
CUUAGUCAGAUGCUGCAGACCCGAAACGAAGUGAUCUAUCCAUGAGCAAGUUGAAGCUAGUGUAAGAACUAGUGGAGGACUGAACCCAUAGGCGUUGAAAAGCCCCGGGAUGACUUGUGGAUAGGGGUGAAAGGCCAAUCAAACUUCGUGAUAGCUGGUUCUCUCCGAAAUAUAUUUAGGUAUAGCGUUGUGUCGUAAUAUAAGGGGGUAGAGCACUGAAUGGGCUAGGGCAUACACCAAUGUACCAAACCCUAUCAAACUCCGAAUACCUUAUAUGUAAUCACAGCAGUCAGGCGGCGAGUGAUAAAAUCCGUCGUCAAGAGGGAAACAACCCAGACUACCAGCUAAGGUCCCUAAGUCUUACUUAAGUGGAAAACGAUGUGAAGUUACUUAAACAACCAGGAGGUUGGCUUAGAAGCAGCCAUCCUUUAAAGAAAGCGUAAUAGCUCACUGGUCUAGUGAUUUUGCGCGGAAAAUAUAACGGGGCUAAAGUAAGUACCGAAGCUGUAGACUUAGUUUACUAAGUGGUAGGAGAGCGUUCUAUUUGCGUCGAAGGUAUACCGGUAAGGAGUGCUGGAGCGAAUAGAAGUGAGCAUGCAGGCAUGAGUAGCGAUAAUUAAUGUGAGAAUCAUUAACGCCGUAAACCCAAGGUUUCCUACGCGAUGCUCGUCAUCGUAGGGUUAGUCGGGUCCUAAGUCGAGUCCGAAAGGGGUAGACGAUGGCAAAUUGGUUAAUAUUCCAAUACCAACAUUAGUGUGCGAUGGAAGGACGCUUAGGGCUAAGGGGGCUAGCGGAUGGAAGUGCUAGUCUAAGGUCGUAGGAGGUUAUACAGGCAAAUCCGUAUAACAAUACUCCGAGAACUGAAAGGCUUUUUGAAGUCUUCGGAUGGAUAGAAGAACCCCUGAUGCCGUCGAGCCAAGAAAAGUUUCUAAGUUUAGCUAAUGUUGCCCGUACCGUAAACCGACACAGGUGGGUGGGAUGAGUAUUCUAAGGCGCGUGGAAGAACUCUCUUUAAGGAACUCUGCAAAAUAGCACCGUAUCUUCGGUAUAAGGUGUGGUUAGCUUUGUAUUAGGAUUUACUCCGAAAGCAAGGAAACUUACAACAAAGAGUCCCUCCCGACUGUUUACCAAAAACACAGCACUCUGCUAACUCGUAAGAGGAUGUAUAGGGUGUGACGCCUGCCCGGUGCUCGAAGGUUAAUUGAUGGGGUUAGCAUUAGCGAAGCUCUUGAUCGAAGCCCGAGUAAACGGCGGCCGUAACUAUAACGGUCCUAAGGUAGCGAAAUUCCUUGUCGGUUAAAUACCGACCUGCAUGAAUGGCGUAACGAGAUGGGAGCUGUCUCAAAGAGGGAUCCAGUGAAAUUGUAGUGGAGGUGAAAAUUCCUCCUACCCGCGGCAAGACGGAAAGACCCCGUGGACCUUUACUACAGCUUGACACUGCUACUUGGAUAAGAAUGUGCAGGAUAGGUGGGAGGCUUUGAGUAUAUGACGCCAGUUGUAUAUGAGCCAUUGUUGAGAUACCACUCUUUCUUAUUUGGGUAGCUAACCAGCUUGAGUUAUCCUCAAGUGGGACAAUGUCUGGUGGGUAGUUUGACUGGGGCGGUCGCCUCCCAAAUAAUAACGGAGGCUUACAAAGGUUGGCUCAGAACGGUUGGAAAUCGUUCGUAGAGUAUAAAGGUAUAAGCCAGCUUAACUGCAAGACAUACAAGUCAAGCAGAGACGAAAGUCGGUCUUAGUGAUCCGGUGGUUCUGUGUGGAAGGGCCAUCGCUCAAAGGAUAAAAGGUACCCCGGGGAUAACAGGCUGAUCUCCCCCAAGAGCUCACAUCGACGGGGAGGUUUGGCACCUCGAUGUCGGCUCAUCGCAUCCUGGGGCUGGAGCAGGUCCCAAGGGUAUGGCUGUUCGCCAUUUAAAGCGGUACGCGAGCUGGGUUCAGAACGUCGUGAGACAGUUCGGUCCCUAUCUGCCGUGGGCGUAAGAAGAUUGAAGAGAUUUGACCCUAGUACGAGAGGACCGGGUUGAACAAACCACUGGUGUAGCUGUUGUUCUGCCAAGAGCAUCGCAGCGUAGCUAAGUUUGGAAAGGAUAAACGCUGAAAGCAUCUAAGCGUGAAGCCAACUCUAAGAUGAAUCUUCUCUAAGCUCUCUAGAAGACUACUAGUUUGAUAGGCUGGGUGUGUAAUGGAUGAAAGUCCUUUAGCUGACCAGUACUAAUAGAGCGUUUGGCUUAUCUUUAAUAAAGCAU